GCCGGGGUAGCCUAGUAGCAAGGCGGUGGGCUGCAGACCCGCUUUACGUCGGUGCAAAUCCGACCCCCGGCU
This 72-nucleotide transfer RNA is filed under the name Hadesarchaea archaeon YNP_N21. Its description in RNAcentral is "tRNA-Cys". It matches the Rfam family "tRNA". Rfam says of the family: Transfer RNA (tRNA) molecules are approximately 80 nucleotides in length. The record is from RNAcentral. Lineage: Archaea; Methanobacteriati; Hadarchaeota (SeqCode); Hadarchaeia (SeqCode).